RNAcentral lists this ribosomal RNA (274 nucleotides) under uncultured bacterium. RNAcentral describes it as "partial 16S ribosomal RNA". It matches the Rfam family "Bacterial small subunit ribosomal RNA", at positions 523 to 796 of the family's 1533-position model. The record is from RNAcentral.
AUACGGAGGGUGCAAGCGUUACUCGGAAUCACUGGGCGUAAAGCGCGCGCAGGCGGCUUGAUAAGUUGGAUGUGAAAGCCUACGGCUCAACCGUAGAACUGCAUCCAAAACUGUCAGGCUAGAGUCUGGGAGGGGAAGAUGGAUUUAGUUGUGUAGGGGUAAAAUCCGUAGAGAUAACUAGGAAUACCAAAAGCGAAGGCGAUCUUCUGGAACAGUACUGACGCUGAGGCGCGAAAGCGUGGGGAGCAAACAGGAUUAGAAACCCUAGUAGUCC